GAUGAACGCUGGCGGCGUGCCUAAUACAUGCAAGUCGAGCGAACAGAUAAGGAGCUUGCUCCUUUGACGUUAGCGGCGGACGGGUGAGUAACACGUGGGUAACCUACCUAUAAGACUGGGAUAACUUCGGGAAACCGGAGCUAAUACCGGAUAAUAUUUCGAACCGCAUGGUUCGAUAGUGAAAGAUGGUUUUGCUAUCACUUAUAGAUGGACCCGCGCCGUAUUAGCUAGUUGGUAAGGUAACGGCUUACCAAGGCGACGAUACGUAGCCGACUUGAGAGGGUGAUCGGCCACACUGGAACUGAGACACGGUCCAGGCUCCUACGGGAGGCAGCAGUAGGGAAUCUUCCGCAAUGGGCGAAAGCCUGACGGAGCAACGCCGCGUGAGUGAUGAAGGUCUUCGGAUCGUAAAACUCUGUUAUUAGGGAAGAACAUACGUGUAAGUAACUGUGCACGUCUUGACGGUACCUAAUCAGAAAGCCACGGCUAACUACGUGCCAGCAGCCGCGGUAAUACGUAGGUGGCAAGCGUUAUCCGGAAUUAUUGGGCGUAAAGCGCGCGUAGGCGGUUUUUUAAGUCUGAUGUGAAAGCCCACGGCUCAACCGUGGAGGGUCAUUGGAAACUGGAAAACUUGAGUGCAGAAGAGGAAAGUGGAACUCCAUGUGUAGCGGUGAAAUGCGCAGAGAUAUGGAGGAACACCAGUGGCGAAGGCGACUUUCUGGUCUGUAACUGACGCUGAUGUGCGAAAGCGUGGGGAUCAAACAGGAUUAGAUACCCUGGUAGUCCACGCCGUAAACGAUGAGUGCUAAGUGUUAGGGGGUUUCCGCCCCUUAGUGCUGCAGCUAACGCAUUAAGCACUCCGCCUGGGGAGUACGACCGCAAGGUUGAAACUCAAAGGAAUUGACGGGGACCCGCACAAGCGGUGGAGCAUGUGGUUUAAUUCGAAGCAACGCGAAGAACCUUACCAAAUCUUGACAUCCUUUGACAACUCUAGAGAUAGAGCUUUCCCCUUCGGGGGACAAAGUGACAGGUGGUGCAUGGUUGUCGUCAGCUCGUGUCGUGGGAUGUUGGGUUAAGUCCCGCAACGAGCGCAACCCUUAAGCUUAGUUGCCAUCAUUAAGUUGGGCACUCUAAGUUGACUGCCGGUGACAAACCGGAGGAAGGUGGGGAUGACGUCAAAUCAUCAUGCCCCUUAUGAUUUGGGCUACACACGUGCUACAAUGGACAAUACAAAGGGUAGCGAAACCGCGAGGUCAAGCAAAUCCCAUAAAGUUGUUCUCAGUUCGGAUUGUAGUCUGCAACUCGACUACAUGAAGCUGGAAUCGCUAGUAAUCGUAGAUCAGCAUGCUACGGUGAAUACGUAUCCCGGGUCU
RNAcentral lists this ribosomal RNA (1373 nucleotides) under uncultured bacterium. Its description in RNAcentral is "bacterial SSU rRNA". It matches the Rfam family "Bacterial small subunit ribosomal RNA", at positions 28 to 1381 of the family's 1533-position model. The record is from RNAcentral.